Molecule: ribosomal RNA, 481 nt
Filed under: uncultured bacterium
Lineage: Bacteria
Description: partial 16S ribosomal RNA
Rfam family: Bacterial small subunit ribosomal RNA
Source: RNAcentral
GAUGAACGCUGGCGGCGUGCUUAACACAUGCAAGUCGAAUGAAGCAUUUGCGACAGAUUUUUUCGGAAUGAAGUUGCUUAUGACUGAGUGGCGGACGGGUGAGUAACGCGUGGGUAACCUGCCUUGUACUGGGGGAUAGCAGCUGGAAACGGCUGGUAAUACCGCAUAAGCGCACAAUGUUGCAUGACAUGGUGUGAAAAACUCCGGUGGUAUAAGAUGGACCCGCGUCUGAUUAGCUAGUUGGUGAGAUAACAGCCCACCAAGGCGACGAUCAGUAGCCGACCUGAGAGGGUGACCGGCCACAUUGGGACUGAGACACGGCCCAGACUCCUACGGGAGGCAGCAGUGGGGAAUAUUGCACAAUGGAGGAAACUCUGAUGCAGCGACGCCGCGUGAGUGAAGAAGUAAUUCGUUAUGUAAAGCUCUAUCAGCAGGGAAGAUAGUGACGGUACCUGACUAAGAAGCUCCGGCUAAAUACGUG